Molecule: ribosomal RNA, 440 nt
Filed under: uncultured bacterium
Lineage: Bacteria
Description: partial 16S ribosomal RNA
Rfam family: Bacterial small subunit ribosomal RNA
Source: RNAcentral
CCUACGGGAGGCAGCAGUGGGGAAUAUUGCACAAUGGGGGAAACCCUGAUGCAGCGACGCCGCGUGAGUGAAGAAGUAUUUCGGUAUGUAAAGCUCUAUCAGCAGGGAAGAAAAUGACGGUACCUGACUAAGAAGCCCCGGCUAACUACGUGCCAGCAGCCGCGGUAAUACGUAGGGGGCAAGCGUUAUCCGGAUUUACUGGGUGUAAAGGGAGCGUAGACGGCCAGACAAGUCAGAAGUGAAAGCCCAGGGCUCAACCCUGGGACUGCUUUUGAAACGGCCGGGCUGGAGUGUAGGAGAGGUAAGCGGAAUUCCUAGUGUAGCGGUGAAAUGCGUAGAUAUUAGGAGGAACACCAGUGGCGAAGGCGGCUUACUGGACUGUAACUGACGUUGAGGCUCGAAAGCGUGGGGAGCAAACAGGAUUAGAUACCCGGGUAGUC